GACAGAGGGUGCAAACGUUGUUCGGAAUUACUGGGCGUAAAGCGCGUGUAGGCGGCUAAGUAAGUCGGGCGUGAAAUCCCACGGCUCAACCGUGGAAGUGCACUCGAAACUGCAUAGCUAGAGUCCUGGAGAGGAAGGUGGAAUGCUUGGUGUAGAGGUGAAAUUCGUAGAUAUCAAGCGGAAACACCGGGUGGCGAAGGGCGGCCU
RNAcentral lists this ribosomal RNA (207 nucleotides) under uncultured bacterium. RNAcentral's name for it is "partial 16S ribosomal RNA". It matches the Rfam family "Bacterial small subunit ribosomal RNA", at positions 524 to 727 of the family's 1533-position model. The record is from RNAcentral.